Molecule: long non-coding RNA, 557 nt
Filed under: Salvia miltiorrhiza (redroot sage)
Lineage: Eukaryota; Viridiplantae; Streptophyta; Magnoliopsida; Lamiales; Lamiaceae
Description: long non-coding RNA (SMIL_LNC012245)
Source: RNAcentral
AAUACUUUUAUUCUUAUUGCAAAAUAUAAUGCAAAUCAUGUCAUGUUUAGCAUAUAAUAAGUAAUUUACUUAAAAUAUGCACAUAAUAAUAAUAUAAUAUUAUUAUGCAAAUUAAAAAUAAUUAAUCAAACUUAAUAAGUCUAAUUAAUUAAAAUAGUGCAGUUCAUUUAAAUAAAAUCUGCAUAGCUCAUUUAAAUAAAUAAAAAAAAAAUACAAGGGCCAACCAUUUUUUUUUUAAAAUGCAGCCCAACAAAAGAAAUAAAUAACCCCAACCCAAUAACUAAAUAAAAAUCGGCCCAGUUGAUUAAAUGAAAAUGGCCCAAUCAGAAUAAAUAAAAAAAUCUCGGCCCAAAACUAAUUAAAACCCAGCCCAACACUAAUUAAAACCCGGCCCAACACUCAAGCCCACUCCAAAGCCCAACCCUACACUCCACUCCCUUUUCUUCCCCCCCUUUUCAGCCGCUCACACACACACGCAUAAGAGCACUCUCUCUCUCGGUCACACUCACACACACAUGAAGCAGCAUUCUCAAGCGGCGCCCCUCCCUUCUUCUUCG